GAUGAACGCUGGCGGCGUGCCUAACACAUGCAAGUCGAACGAGAUGCGUAUCGGAAAGCUUCGGCCGGAAGAUACGUGAUCUAGUGGCGGACGGGUGAGUAACACGUGGGUAACCUGCCUUAUGGAGGGGGAUAACAGAGAGAAAUCACUGCUAAUACCGCAUAAGCACACAUUGCCGCAUGGCAGAGUGUGAAAAGAUUUAUCGCCAUAAGAUGGACCCGCGUCUGAUUAGCCAGUUGGCAGGGUAAAAGCCUACCAAAGCAACGAUCAGUAGCCGAUCUGAGAGGAUGACCGGCCACAUUGGGACUGAGACACGGCCCAAACUCCUACGGGAGGCAGCAGUGGGGAAUAUUGCACAAUGGGGGAAACCCUGAUGCAGCGACGCCGCGUGAGUGAAGAAGUAUUUCGGUAUGUAAAGCUCUAUCAGCAGGGAAGAUAAUGACAGUACCUGACUAAGAAGCCCCGGCUAACUACGUGCCAGCAGCCGCGGUAAUACGUAGGGGGCAAGCGUUAUCCGGAUUUACUGGGUGUAAAGGGAGCGUAGACGGAGUGGCAAGUCUGAAGUGAAAACCCUGGGCUUAACCUGGGGACUGCUUUGGAAACUGUUAAUCUAGAGUGUUGGAGAGGUAAGUGGAAUUCCUGGUGUAGCGGUGAAAUGCGUAGAUAUCAGGAAGAACACCGGAGGCGAAGGCGGCUUACUGGACAAUAACUGACGUUGAGGCUCGAAAGCGUGGGGAUCAAACAGG
This 746-nucleotide ribosomal RNA is filed under the name uncultured Oribacterium sp. RNAcentral describes it as "bacterial SSU rRNA". It matches the Rfam family "Bacterial small subunit ribosomal RNA", at positions 28 to 776 of the family's 1533-position model. Lineage: Bacteria; Bacillati; Bacillota; Clostridia; Lachnospirales; Lachnospiraceae. The record is from RNAcentral.